CCAUUGGUGGUUGAGUGAUAGAGUUCUUGCCUUCCACGUGGGAGACCUGGGUUCGAUUCCUGGCCAGUGCA
Molecule: transfer RNA, 71 nt
Filed under: Loxodonta africana (African savanna elephant)
Lineage: Eukaryota; Metazoa; Chordata; Mammalia; Proboscidea; Elephantidae
Rfam family: tRNA
About the family: Transfer RNA (tRNA) molecules are approximately 80 nucleotides in length. Their secondary structure includes four short double-helical elements and three loops (D, anti-codon, and T loops).
Source: Rfam by way of RNAcentral